Molecule: transfer RNA, 72 nt
Filed under: Heterocephalus glaber (naked mole-rat)
Lineage: Eukaryota; Metazoa; Chordata; Mammalia; Rodentia; Bathyergidae
Rfam family: tRNA
About the family: Transfer RNA (tRNA) molecules are approximately 80 nucleotides in length. Their secondary structure includes four short double-helical elements and three loops (D, anti-codon, and T loops).
Source: Rfam by way of RNAcentral
GGAGGUGUGGCUCAGUGGUAGAGCACUGGCCUAGCAUUCAUGAGGCUCUGGGUUCAAGCCCAAGUACCACCA